AGGUCAGUUAUUUUUGCCAUGGCUCCUGACAGAUUCCACUAUCUGGCUGGCUAGGCAGGUGUCCCCUUCCUCCCUCACUGCUCAAGGAUGACCUUCCCUGAAUACAGGAGGACUUGUCUUCGGUCAAGGGUAUAGGAAUUGCUGUGCUCCCCUGCUAGAACCUCCAAACAAGCUCUCAUUAGGAGGAAUCUGAUCCGUUACUCCAUGAACUGGCAUAGUUGAGCAGCCCAAAGUAGAUGAGCUGAGCCCAGGGGACACAAGAAUGACAGGUUUCUUUUGUAUGUUUGUUUG
This is an unclassified non-coding RNA of Cricetulus griseus (Chinese hamster), 291 nucleotides long. Its record names the gene 7SK. It matches the Rfam family "7SK RNA". From Rfam's summary of the family: 7SK was discovered as an abundant small nuclear RNA in the mid-70s but a possible function has only recently been suggested. Two independent studies have found that 7SK RNA binds the CDK9/cyclin T complex (known as elongation factor P-TEFb). The record is from Ensembl. Lineage: Eukaryota; Metazoa; Chordata; Mammalia; Rodentia; Cricetidae.